Non-coding RNA from Podarcis muralis (Common wall lizard), 2840 nucleotides. Lineage: Eukaryota; Metazoa; Chordata; Lepidosauria; Squamata; Lacertidae. The record is from RefSeq and is a predicted model, not a curated record.
UGUGCGACUAAGAAUAUCUGCAUGCUCCUUGCAGAGGCCGGGGAAUCAUAACUUCGCACCGAAAUAAUCCUAUACAUCAAAAAGAAUGCCGCCACUCCCCCACCUUAAAGAAAUUGCCUCUCGUCUCUCCCCCGCCCCGGUUCCUUGCAAACUGAAAGGAGGGGGGGGGGAGAAGAAGUGCAGAAAACAAUGCAAUAUAUGCACAGCCUCUUCCUCCUGGGAAAAAGCGCGCGGCAAGCAAGUCCCCACACGCUUCCACGCUUCUCACGCAACUUGAACUCCUGGUGCAGAGACAGAGAGAAUGAGAGAGGAGGCGACCCACAAUGAUUCUCUGAUUUUUAAUGUGGGGGGUUGGGUGGGGGGUGGUCUUCAAGCAGCAGCACCCAUCCUUUGGCGUUCCUAAAACCCAGUGCACCACUAGCGAGGAUAAUCCAGCCCAACUCCUGCAGUUGGGAUCCUUGUCCUAUUGGACCAGCUGGCAGAGAAGGUCAUCUGGUGGGAUCACCUGGUCGAUAAUCUGUGCUGGCCUGCAGUUUGCCAGGUGGCUCACUUGUCAUAGUCUGCGAUGACUAACUCUGCGUGGUUUGGACAAAGCGAUGCCAAGACGUUUCAUCUUGCCCCAGUGACUCACAAGACUGAAAAAAUAUUGCAGCAUUUAGUUUGCAAGUAUAAUUUAUGUUCUUUCAACUGAUCUUGCUGUGGCCAGGCCAAUUCAGCCAUGAAAAGCGAGGGAAACGCAUCGGUUCAAGGAGGGAAGUGCUGAUCUAUGAGAACAAUUUUAGUUAAUUAAGUGGACAUUUCACAAGGGCGAGGGAUCCACUAGUCCCCUUAAGAGAGCCAGUCAAAUGUGAAAUACAAGGGAUUUUGUUAGGGGAAAUAAAUGGACAGGCUGCAGAUGGGGGGGGCAGCUGGAAUUUUGCUGCCUUUGUAGCUGAAAGAAGAGGAUGGCCCAGUAGAACAAAGGGGUUCUGAGCUUAUGGAGUUGAGGGAUCUCCACGCUUGCGUCAUCCUUGUUGUCAAGGACAAAAGCUACAUGGGCAUUUGUACGAAGCGGGGUUUCCAUUUUGCUAUUCCAUCCAUGUUAGAAAAACUGUCAGGUAUGGAUAUAAUCAUCUGGGCAGUGAUGAGUUACUUCACACAACCGGCUUCUCCUUUAUUUAAAGGCACAUAUGGCAACCCGGCCAGAAGGCAGUCUAGGCCAAAAUGUAAGAGGGAAAUGGAGCUACCUGCUGCUACCUUCUUCCUGUUCUUCUUCAAGAAGCUUUGCACCAGGACAGGGCCCUCUCCUCUGAUUGUGGGAAAUGCCCCAACUUUUCAACUGAAACCGAAGGAGCAGCUGGAGAAGAUGAAACUGCGGGUAUAUCUACGGUAUAUUGCCGUCUCACCAGUUCACUUUUAAUGCUCAAUGCCUUUGUGCAUCACUCCCAGAAAUCUGGAGUGGUAGUUUGGGGAGCACUGAAUGCCCGCUAUUUGAUGAAAUACAGUAAUUUAUGACCAAGGCUAUUUUUUUUCAGCAGAGCUCAGUUCCAGCACAUUCAGGUGGGCGCCAUUGCCAUUCUAAGAGAACAAGGGAGAAGUUCAUGGUCAGCUCUGGCACCUCUUUUUCCAGGGAAAAAAAAUAGCACUGCUUAUGGCAUUUAUUUUACCUCAAGAGCUUGGCCUGUCCACACAACAAUGCUGCGUGUAGGCCAAGCCGAGAGUUACUGACUGACACAAAUUCACCCAGUAACUUUUGUGGCUGAGCAAUGGUCUGUAUUACGCUGAAUUCAGCUUGGUGAUGUAGAUGUUUGGAUGGAGGAGAAAUUCUAUUCAGUUCAAAUUUAAAGGCAAACUUACCUAAUUCAACAGGUGAAUAGUAACACCACCUUUUAAAAUUCGCAUUCUCUGAAUUUUGCAAUGCAGUUCUUCAGCCAGGUAAUGUGUACAAAAGAGAACACAUUGUGGUGAUGCGUACAUAUAGAUGCAUAUAUUAAUGAAAAAUACUGUAUGUACAUUAGGGGUUCAUAAUGCAUACAAAAAAAGAGGGCAUAUUAAGAGAAAAUCGCUGGACUUAAAAAAAAUAAAAUCACAAAUUGAUGUGGAGAACUGAACCAAAACCACCACAUUCACCCAUCUUGAUGUAGCUGCAGAUCAUUUAUUACUGUAGAUUACAGAUUACAGUGAGUUUCUGUUAUCUGUCGUAUGUCUGAUAUCUGGUGCCUCUUUUCAUUAGGUUAGUUCCUGCAGGGGUGCCUGUCACAAAGUGCUCAAAUAACCACUUUAAUCUUCUCAUCAGUCGCUUUGCGAACAAGCUAUUUUCACAUUUUUCUUCUUUGGUGCUCUGGUUUGAUCAGUCUCAAUAGAGUGCAGGGUGUGGAUGCUAAUAACUGCUUUUAAUUCAUCUGAGCUCCAGGCCAUUUCAUAGAAACUUUCCUUGGUACUGCAAGUGGUUUCCCAUGCCUCAGAUCCACCCUCACAAAACCCAGAUUCUGUCUUUCCACCCACUGAAGAUGAGAAGCAUAUAUCUAUUGGCUUUUAUCUGUUAAUAGAGAACAGUACUACAUACUCAAAACAAGUACAUUACAAAGCAAAAAGUAGGCCCCAACUCUCUUCAGCCUAUUCUUCUACCUGUUGCUCUCAUGUGCCUUCAGCUUGACUGAGGGUGGGGUGCACUUUCAUUCAAGGAACAACAGGGACCUGUUCAAUCUAGCAUGUCUCCAUGCCAAGACAAAAAUGCCAUGGGUGACUAGUUGACCUAGCAUUUUCACUAAAAAGGCAUGCUGCAUAGGACUUAUUGAUCCAAAAGUACCUAAAUGUUUCAUCAUGCAAGGCAGCUGAAAGCAGGUAUUAUAAAAUAUGUA